AUACAAUGGAGAGUUUGAUCCUGGCUCAGGAUGAACGCUAGCGGGAGGCCUAACACAUGCAAGCCGAGCGGUAGAUUGCUUUCGGGCAAUUGAGAGCGGCGUACGGGUGCGGAACACGUGUGCAACCUGCCUUUAUCUGGGGGAUAGCCUUUCGAAAGGAAGAUUAAUACCCCAUAAUAUAAGAGACGGCAUCGUUUUUUAUUGAAAACUCCGGUGGAUAGAGAUGGGCACGCGCAAGAUUAGAUAGUUGGUGAGGUAACGGCUCACCAAGUCGACGAUCUUUAGGGGGCCUGAGAGGGUGAUCCCCCACACUGGUACUGAGACACGGACCAGACUCCUACGGGAGGCAGCAGUGAGGAAUAUUGGACAAUGGGUGAAAGCCUGAUCCAGCCAUCCCGCGUGAAGGACGACGGCCCUAUGGGUUGUAAACUUCUUUUGUAUAGGGAUAAACCUUUCCACGUGUGGAAAGCUGAAGGUACUAUACGAAUAAGCACCGGCUAACUCCGUGCCAGCAGCCGCGGUAAUACGGAGGGUGCAAGCGUUAUCCGGAUUUAUUGGGUUUAAAGGGUCCGUAGGCUGAUUUGUAAGUCAGUGGUGAAAUCUCACAGCUUAACUGUGAAACUGCCAUUGAUACUGCAAGUCUUGAGUGUUGUUGAAGUAGCUGGAAUAAGUAGUGUAGCGGUGAAAUGCAUAGAUAUUACUUAGAACACCAAUUGCGAAGGCAGGUUACUAAGCAACAACUGACGCUGAUGGACGAAAGCGUGGGGAGCGAACAGGAUUAGAUACCCUGGUAGUCCACGCCGUAAACGAUGCUAACUCGUUUUUGGGGCGCAAGCUUCAGAGACUAAGCGAAAGUGAUAAGUUAGCCACCUGGGGAGUACGAACGCAAGUUUGAAACUCAAAGGAAUUGACGGGGGCCCGCACAAGCGGUGGAUUAUGUGGUUUAAUUCGAUGAUACGCGAGGAACCUUACCAAGGCUUAAAUGGGAAAUGACAGGCUUAGAAAUAGGCUUUUCUUCGGACAUUUUUCAAGGUGCUGCAUGGUUGUCGUCAGCUCGUGCCGUGAGGUGUUAGGUUAAGUCCUGCAACGAGCGCAACCCCUGUCACUAGUUGCCAUCAUUAAGUUGGGGACUCUAGUGAGACUGCCUACGCAAGUAGAGAGGAAGGUGGGGAUGACGUCAAAUCAUCACGGCCCUUACGCCUUGGGCCACACACGUAAUACAAUGGCCGGUACAGAGGGCAGCUACACAGCGAUGUGAUGCAAAUCUCGAAAGCCGGUCUCAGUUCGGAUUGGAGUCUGCAACUCGACUCUAUGAAGCUGGAAUCGCUAGUAAUCGCGCAUCAGCCAUGGCGCGGUGAAUACGUUCCCGGGCCUUGUACACACCGCCCGUCAAGCCAUGGAAGUCUGGGGUACCUGAAGUCGGUGACCGUAAAAGGAGCUGCCUAGGGUAAAACAGGUAACUAGGGCUAAGUCGUAACAAGGUAGCCGUACCGGAAGGUGCGGCUGGAACAUCUCAUUUUAGA
This 1523-nucleotide ribosomal RNA is filed under the name Chryseobacterium sp. P1-3. RNAcentral's name for it is "bacterial SSU rRNA". It matches the Rfam family "Bacterial small subunit ribosomal RNA". Lineage: Bacteria; Pseudomonadati; Bacteroidota; Flavobacteriia; Flavobacteriales; Weeksellaceae. The record is from RNAcentral.